This is a non-coding RNA of Ictidomys tridecemlineatus (thirteen-lined ground squirrel), 1424 nucleotides long. The record is from RefSeq and is a predicted model, not a curated record. Lineage: Eukaryota; Metazoa; Chordata; Mammalia; Rodentia; Sciuridae.
CCAAGCUCAUUAACUGAUUGAUUUUCACAAAUUCAUUAGAGUCUAGUAAGGUAUUUUCUUCAUUUUGUCAAUGAGGAAUUGGAACCUUGAGAAUGAAAUACCUUGCUAAAUACCAUGAAUGGGAACUAGUCUGAUUAUAUUGGAUCAGAAUACUUGUAGACUGCUCCAAAUGACCUGAGUUGACUUUGGUGGAGACCAGAGUCCUUCAUCUGAUUUUUUCUUGAUUAGAUCAAGCCAACUCUGUCCUGAGUGUCCUGAUCCACAAUGAAAGUGAAUAUGAGCUCACAGUUGGUGAGGGCAAAGAUCCUCAUUGCCCAACAUGUCUCUGUGCUGAGUGCAUUGAACCAUUUGUGUGAAUGUUUUAAGGAGGUACCAGGACUGGAAUGGAAGCAUCAAAUUCUUAAAGCCUUGCUACAGUAACUGAAACUAAGAGCUGGAUGAUGAUAGGUUCAGGAUGUCUUGAAAUGGAAAACAAUCGGAAUUUUAGCCUGCGGGGAGAGCUUAGACAGAGUUGUCCCACGGCCUCAUUCCAAGAGGUUAUAUUCCAGAGAGGCUGGUGAUUUGUCCAAGGACUCGAGGUGAAUCAGCAUGAGAAACAAGAUGCUAAGAAGAUAAAAGAUGGAGCUGACAAACACAGUGUUCUGUUGAUUAGGCUGGGACUCAGCUCCUUUGCCUCAGUCGACUGCAUUGGCCAACCUGCAACUUCUCAAGGAAUCACAGCAUGAAAUAAAGACGAGAUGAGUCAUAGUCCUGCGUGGUACUGAUCAAACUGGCUUUUAGGUAUGAUUCAUGAGGACUUUAGCUUUGGGAAUCAUAAGUCUUUCUUCUUAUUCGAAAGUUGAAGAGAAAGAAACUUUGAUUCUGAAUUGUGAUCCUGUGAUUCAACAACAAAAAACAUGUUCACAUUGUGUUGAUCCUUUAUAUUCUGAAUUAUGUUAAAUAAGUGAUUAAACUUCUCAUCCAAUUUGCCUUAAAUCUAAGGGAAGCAAUUGUCUAGCCGCUCUAGCCCUGAGCUAGAAGAGAUAAACCCUAAAGGACUUAUUUAUUUGAUUUUUAAAUUAACUGCCUUUGCUAAAAUGCCUAGGAUACAGGCGCCAAGGCAUCAUUAAGUAUAAAAAUAUUUAGGCCAAGAGAUGACAGUGGUAAUGCAAGGGAGAAACCAGGGCAAUUGAACACAGCACUAAGAUAAUGUUGCCUCAUUUGUACAUUGAAAUAGUCAGGUUUUAAAAUAAUGGUCUAAAACAGAAACUAGGCCACUCGAUUCACACCAGGGUGAGCAUUAGAUAGAUAGGGCCCUUCCUUCCACAAAGGACCAGUGCUGGGGAAAAUUGGCUAUUUUCUUGGGCUAUAAACAAACAAAAUGAGUGACAGAAUGCCAUAACCCGUUGUCUCAGCGGUGGAGAAGAUACACAGAAGGCUUGAUC